Molecule: long non-coding RNA, 766 nt
Organism: Solanum tuberosum (potato)
Lineage: Eukaryota; Viridiplantae; Streptophyta; Magnoliopsida; Solanales; Solanaceae
Exons: 3
Source: RefSeq, a predicted model, not a curated record
CUUCUUCGGCGUUGCUUCAAGGCUCCAUGUCUUUUUAUUAUUGUGAUGCUUAAGAGUGAUCAAGAUAUCCGAAAAACUUUUAGGUGAAGCACUAUGUUCUGCUUGUACCGGUGAGGACAUACGACUUCUGCUGAAAUAAUUAUUGUUCACUACACCGUAGGCAAUGUGGAGGUGACUUUUUUGGAGAUGUUUGAGUCUUAACUGUAAAUACCCUCCUCCUUUGGCACUCUGAUCUAUCUUGCACUCAUACCACUAAAGAACCAAGAUAGGAAAAUUAGGUGUGGCAUCGUAGCGGGGGCGAUCAUAUGCUGCUUCAGAGUUCCAGAUUUACAUGUAAGUUAAUAUGCCACUUCUUGUUAAGUUGUUUGAGGCAACUUCACAUGAGUUUAGUUGAUCUUAGCAGUUAUUUAUAUCAAUUUACAUUUGAUGCUUCAUCGUAGUGCGGUUGUUUCGAAUUAUGAAAUGAAAAUCGUUCUUCACUUUGAUGUUAAUUAAAAUUUUACAGUAAAAAUUGAUCGGUAAUACUUUUCAAGAAUGGAGCAAGGAUUGCAACCACCAUAUGACCUCUACAAUCAGAAAAUUUUGCACAACUAAGUAAUACUCUACGUUGCAUUGAACAUGAAAAAAUUAUCAAUUUAUCUUAAGUAUUGUACGAAAGUUUUGAUUCCCCUGUUUUUGGGAGAAAUAUUGGAGCACCAUCAUAUAUGGCACCAACAUUAAGUUUACGAAAGUCUGGUAUUGAAGUACCAUCGAAGUAUAUGCAAGA